GACAGUGAGAGAUAGGUGAUCCUAUAGACAGAUAUAUAUAACAGACAGUGAGAGAAAGGUCAUCCUAUAGACAGACAGAUAUAACAGACAGUGAGAGAUAGGUGACCCUAUAGACAGACAAAUAUUACAGACAGUGAGAGAUAUGUGAUCCUAGACAGACAUAUAUAACAGACAGUGAGAGAUAGGUCAUCCUAUAGACAGACAGAUAUAACAGACAGUGAGAGAUAGGUGAUCCUAUAGACAGACAGAUAUAACAGACAGUGAGAGAUAGGUUUUGUUAUGAGCGGAUGGUCUGACAAACUAAAAGAAAUAUUUAUGCUAUAGGCAAACCGAUAUAACGGACGACGAGACAGAUAUUGUAUGCUAUAGAGUGUAAAGUAAAUAUAUGGAAUGAGAGAGGAUCUGGUCGUCGUAGCUAUCGUAAAUGCAUUAUUUUUCCAUAAUGAAAUAUAUAUUAGCUAUAUCACACGUUAUAUCCAUAGCAAACACGUAGAUCACUGAGACGUUACAUUGGACUACAUAAAGUGACAACUAAUCAUUGGGGUCCAAUGGUGAGGCACACAUACUGUUUAUCAUUCGUUAGAUUAACCCGGGAUACAAACUGCUGAUAGCGAGGAUCAAAUAUAAUUGAUAUUUAUAACUUAUUUUGUCAGUAAUUGUACAGAUGAUCGUUCUGACUUGUUCUGUAACUAGCGGGUUGUGUUCGGAAACUGUGAUAUAAGUAUAUUUACCGUACACACGUUUGUAAUGAAUUGUGUGAUGUCUGUAUACUGACACAUGAUUAUCCAUUUCCUGUCUGCUUCACAGAAUAAUCUAUCCACCUGGAAUUCCCCGGGUAUAUCCCAUGGGAGAAUAAUAAGUUCACCAGUUCCAGUUUGUGCCUGCUAAGAAUUCAGUUAAAUCAUCUCAUUGACUUUAAAUCGUCUUCUUUUCGUUUAUCCAAUUUAAUUUAUUGGAAAUAUCAUUAAAAAUAUAACAUCGCUGUCUAUUUACAUACAAACCUUUUUAGCACCUAUAACAAUUAAUUGCAAAUGACUAUUCAUAUGCACAAACCUCAUUCCCACUCGUUAAAUUAUUAUAUAUAACUUUCUAUUUAUAGACACAAACCUGAUUACCAACCAAUAACAAUUAAGUGUCAGUAUUUGCCAGCAAUUAAAAUCAAUUGUCGCUAUUAUUUAUAGACACAAACCACUUACCACCAAUGAAAAUCAAAUGUCAAUAUUAUUCAUAGACACAAACCACUUACCGCCCAUUAAAGUCAAAUGCCAUUAUUAUUUAUGGACACAAACCACUUACCGCCAAUUAAAGUCAAAUGCCAUUAUUAUUCAUAGACACAAACCACUUACCGCCCAUUAAAGUCAAAUGCCAUUAUUAUUUUUAGGCACAAACCACUCACGGCCCAUGAAAAUCACUGGCACAGACCUACCUACCUGACAACAAUCGUUUUAUGGACACAAACAAGUUACACGUACAAACCAUUAAAAUCAAAUGUCACUAUUAUCUAUAGACACAACCCAGAUUUCUACCCAUUAAAAUCAGAUAUCCUAUAUAUAGACACAAAUCUACUUACCAACCAUUACAAUUAAUUGUCAUUAUAUAUAUACACAAACCAGAUAACCGCCCAAUCAGAUGUCACUGCCAAGUUAUAAAGCUGAUAAUCACCCAAUCAAAUGUCACUGCCCAGUUAUAAAGCUGAUAAUCACCCAAUCAAAUGUCACUGCCCAGUUAUAAAGCUGAUAAUCACCCAAUCAAAUGUCACUGUCCAGUUAUCAAGCUGAUAACCCCGCCCUUUUUCUAAAUAAACAAUCGAAUGUUUAGUUAUGCUAUGUACACGACCAGUACUUACCAACAUGGGAUAUCUGAGUCAUGGAGACGUCGAAGUGAAAAGCUGAUUAAAGACGUCCCGAAUGUGCAAUAUAUAAAUAGAUCAUAAUGUCAUAUGUCAUUUGUAACAUAAAGGUCAAAUUGUGAUGCCCUAGUCGUGUUCAAUUUGAAUGUCAUAGUUUAUAAUCACACAAUGCCAUAUUUAUAUGAAUUGUAUUAUACAUUCUAGUCAUUAUUUAUAAAAUGUACACAUUUAUUGCGUAUAAAUCAUAUGUUGAUACAGUCAUCUCACUAUAAUCUCUGACCAUCAAAGUCAUUAAUUUUUAACAAUAAGUAAUUACAUGUAGUAUAUUUACAUAUUUUAUAUCAUUAUACUCUCCCAGCUAGUAGAAACGCUGACCAGUGUUGUAUAGAGGUAUAGCUAUAAAGAUUUUAUCUGUACAUAAGUUUAUCUACAUAUAACAAUACUCAACAUAACAUUCAGGUGCAUUAUAUAAAAACCAUUUGAGAAUUUUUAAUCAAUUUUCAACGCAAGUUCACUCACAGACUGGUUAAAGAGAUAUAUACAAAUCAUUCUUUCAAGGCUCAUUGUCGGUCCUGAAUUCCAGCAAAUUGUGUGGUUAAAUAUACAGAAUACUGGCCCUUAUAUAAACUUAUUAUGCUCGAUAUUUUACAUCAUGAGUUGAAAUAAUUUUGUGAAAUACAGGAUCGACAAUGGUCCGAGAUUAACGGAGGUCACGGGGUCAGAUAGACAAGAGUGUAUGUGGACAUAGCAAAAUGUCAAUCAUCUCUUUAUCAAUACUGUACUGUAUAUGACUGCAAUUUAUUCUUGUUGUUCGUGUGAUGUUAGAUAUAUUUUAUUUAUUCAUAAUGACAUUCUGUGUAAUAGUGUUGAUAAUCAUUUGUUGAAGCCAAGCACAUCAUCAACGUUGCAGUAAUUACAUUCGAUUUUCCUUUUGCAUUUUCUGUGAAAUUGUGAGUGAAAUUGUGAGCUUUUUGUUAUGUACAAUGAAACACAGUCUAGUAAUAUUCCAAUACCUUGCUGGAUGGAAAGCUGUUAUCACAGUUAGAAAUGAUCGGUGUUGAGAAAGGUAUGUAAAUGUAUUACAUGAAACAAUCGCCAGCACUUCCCUUCGUCGUUUUUAUCUACCAUACAUUUUUUCGAUAAAAAUGUAGGCCUAUAGUUGGGUGAGAAAUUUGACAUUAUAUUAAAGCUCACUUACAACUGAUUAUUACCCACAAAAACUGCGGAAUUAAGUGCACGACGAAUGGUUCACGUCAUACAGGCAUAACAGUUAACUCCCAGGGUGCUGACAUUUGAGACGUCUUGUUUGUGUCAUUAACCGUACAGUUCUAUGAAACCAUCCCGAUUUACCGUGAACAUGUAACAGGUAUGCGUGUAGUUUGUUGAAAACAAAAUCCGCAAAAAUGGAUGUUUAAUCCUACAUAUUACAUUUCUUGUUACAUUUGUAUGUGUAGUGCUGGGCGGAGGAACCUCGUUAAGUUGUGUUGUUUAUAUUCGUUUAUAUACGCUGGAGCAGCUUAAUGUGCAUAGCAGUUAUAUAUCAUAUUGUACAUCUAAUUAAACCGAUGUAUGAUCACUACAUACUAUGAUAAAACUAUUUAAGUGUA
Long non-coding RNA from Pecten maximus, 3456 nucleotides. RefSeq lists it as uncharacterized. NCBI's taxonomy places the organism in Eukaryota, Metazoa, Mollusca, Bivalvia, Pectinida, Pectinidae. The transcript has 2 exons. The record is from RefSeq and is a predicted model, not a curated record.